UCGUCUUCCCCCCGGGGGCAGCGCCCGGUGUCCAGCGCCCGCUUCUCCGGCGCCCCCUUUCCGUACCCGCCGCCCGCGGAGGGACGGUUGGAGUUUGAAAAAGCUGCGCGUUCCCGCCGCGUGAGGCAGCCCGCCCCGCCCUCCGACAGGUCCCCGGGAACACCUCAGCCCACUGGAGCGGGACCCAUGGCGGCGGGCACGGGCGCUGCUGCUCAGUGUCUCCGCAACCCGGCCAUCGAGGAAGCUCUCGCCCGCGUUUUCCCGCCUCUGCCCGACUGGGCCUACCAGCGGCUGCGGAGGCUGGCCUCGCCUCCCUCUUUGGCCUGAGUGGCAGCGCCGCGCCGCCGUGUAUUGAGGAGAGGAGGAGGAGCUCGGCGAUCGGGGCGGAGCGGCCCCGGCCCCAGCCUCGCGCGCCGCCGAGAGAGACCCUGGGGCAGGGCAGGCGGCGGCCCCGGCAUCCCCCAGGGGCGCUGGCUUCCCCGCGUCGCCCCGCUCAGGUUAUGUUUCUCAAGUAAUAAAUUAUGGGUUCGGAAGAGAAAAGAGAUGGAUUAUAUCAAGUCACAUCUUCUCAGCGAAUAAUUUCUUCUUGUUGUGGUGCUUUUCUUACUUCACUUUUGGUCACACCCCUAGAUGUUGUCAAAGUUCGACUCCAGGCCCAGAGCAACCCAUUCUUCAAAGCACUUUAUUGUGCACUCUUUUUAUCAGGAAAAUCUUUUUUGGAAUCUGAUAGCCUUGCGGAUCACAUUUGUGUCUAUGAAAAUGGAACCAGCAAAACCUGGCGUAAGAGAUCUGUGCAGUUUACCGGCAUGGUGGAUGCUUUUGUGAAAAUAGCUCAAAGAGAGGGUGUGAGAGCACUAUGGAGUGGACUGCCUCCCGCACUAGCAGUUUCAGUUCCAACGGCAGUAAUUUAUUUUACUUGCUAUGAUCAACUGCGUGAUGCCUUCAUUUCUAAAAUAGGAGAAGAUAAUGUCUACAUUCCACUUAUUGCAGGGGGCAUAGCCAGAUUGGGUGCAGCAACUAUAAUAAGUCCAGUUGAAAUGAUUAGAACAAGAAUGCAGUUUCGCCGGUUGACUUACAAACAACUAAGUGCUUGCAUUAGUAGUAACAUGGCCAAAGAUGGCUGGCUUUCACUCUGGAAAGGAUGGGGCCCCACUGUUCUUAGAGAUGUGCCAUUUUCAGCACUGUACUGGUGUAACUAUGAAUACUUCAAGAAGAGGUUGUGCAAGAGAUCAGGAAAACAUGAGCCAACAUUCUUUAUCACCUUCCCAUCAGGAGCAGCAGCUGGUUCUAUUGCUGCUCUUUUAACUUUACCCUUUGAUGUUAUAAAAACACACAAGCAGACUGAGCUUUGGGAAUUCGAAUCCACACACUUUUUGUUUUUGUUUUAUUCAGCAUCACAGCCAAGGAGUGUACCAAUAUGGAAAGUAAUGAAGAGAAUUGUUGCUGAAAAUGGAUUUACUGGAUUAUUUGCUGGUAUUGUUCCAAGGCUGACAAAAAUAGCUCCUGCUUGUGCCAUAAUGAUCAGCACGUAUGAAUAUGGGAAAUCUUUCUUCCGUAGAUUAAAUAAAGACAGAGACAUUAAGAACCAUUAAUGCUGUUUCUAUAAACUUAAAGUGGCAUAUAGUAUCCACCAAGGGUUAUACCACACAAGAUUGCUAUGGAAAUGUUAGGUCUUAAGAUGCAGCUUGUAAGUUCCUUGCCGAUCGCCGGUGUCUCCAGCUAGCCUUGCUCAGUAUGUGGACCAGCCCAGCUCUGCAAAAGGAGAAUGACGGAGAAACCCACAAAACUUACUGCAUUCAGAAUCAAACCAGGAUUCCUCCCUGCUAUACUGCGCCAUAGAGCAGGAGAAAGAUGCAUCUGCAAGACUGGAUCCAAUGUGAUCUGUUGCAGUCAUAAGAAUGGGUUCUGCACCUGCAUGAGAGCAUUCGGACAGAAUUGAUGAGCUCCUCGAAGCGCUUAGUCCUGCCCCCUGCACAUGGUGCAUUUGCUUAGUUUGGGCAGGCUAGCAUUUUCUCCUCAGUUCCUGAAGGACCAACAUUUGGAGGCAGUCAUCUCAUGGAACCAGCCCACAGUUCAACAAGGGCUUGGUCAAUUUCAAACAAAAAAGGAGAACCCGUCUCACGUCCAGUGAGUGCAAAGAAUGUUCUAUGGCCAUUGUUGGAUUGUGAAAGAAGAAAAAAGUCGUUCCGAGGAGCCGAAGGUGCUGACACGAUGACCAUCAGAAAGGAACUGAGGAGAAAACACUAGCCCACCCCAACUAAGCAAGUGCACUAUAUGCAGAGGGUUUUGUCAUCUGCAGAUAGUUCAAAAGAGCCCUGCGUACAUCCAGGGAAUGUAAUGACCUCUCCAAGGUUGUUUCCGGGUCUCUGAAAAAGUUUCUUCUUGUGGAAGCCUUCAUGUCAUUUGGAGGUAUUUCCUUCACAAGCCUAUUCUCCACGCUGUCAGACACAGAGGCUUCAAGUCUGGAUGCAAUUGUGAUCUAAUUUAGCAUGUUAUUUGACCUACAUGUUUAAUUUAAAAAUCCACCAUUUGAAUUUCCCACAUGGUAACUCAACGUUUUUCAAGUAGCCAUGUAGUUGAACUCUGAAGUACUGGGAGACAAGGAGAAAUCAGAUAAGUUAAUUUUAUUGGAAUAUUCAAAACAUAUCUACUCUCUUACACUCUUUCUAGGAAUAAUCAUUUGAACCACAUUAAUUAGAACUUUGAAAUUGCCAAACUUGCCUAAUAUUGAAUUAGCAUCCAUUCAUUAUUACUAAUUAAUUUUAUGGGUUUUUUCCCCAACAAUUCCAUUGUGGAAUCUGUAUUUUCGCUAAACAGGCCUUUUCCACCCGUUCAUGCAUGUCUUGCUGCAAUGCUGUAGAUCUCAGCCAUGCAUGAGCCUCAUAGUCACGGCAGUAACCAUGGCUCAUGACUCCGUUUCUACCAGGUGCUUAAAUGCACUAAGCUGCUGUCUAGGUACUGAUGUAGUCUUUUCAUAUAGCUCAGUGAACUUAUCCUGAAAUUUUUCAGGUGUCAACAAAGUGGAGUCCUGAAACAAAGUGCCCCAUAAAAAGUGAUUGUAUCUAGCCAUGCAGGCUGCAUAGUUAGCAAUUCUUAUUGCCAAACUUGAGGUGGUGCAUAUCUUUCUGCCUAAUAUAUCCAUCUUCCUCCCUUCCUUGCCAGAUGGGGUUGUAUGGAGGCGUCCCGCCUUUGAAGAUGAUGCACAAUUACCAUAGAAUUUGGUAUUGGAUGUCGAAGCAGAAAUCCAAGGAGCCAGCACCGAGGUGUUGACGUUUUGGCGGUCAAAUAGAAACUGAGGAAAUGGCGCCCCCAACUUCCGAUUUCAGCGGAAGCACAGAGCACGUGCAAGGCAGAGUGGGCAUCACGAAGAGCUAGUUAGUCUUCCCGCAAGGUCCCUGUGCAGGCGCAAAACCCAUUCCUUAUUAAUGCAAUGGAUCACGAUCCAGAUCAACAGUUAUCAAGUGAGCAGCAGAACAAACAAUUAAACAGUCAAAGAACUCACCAAGAAAAGUGAGGGGAACAAACCACUUUAUAAGACACUAGUAUUUUUAAGCCAGUUUCAGAAGCUAUUUGCUAAAUUCAAGCUAUUGAAUUUAGCAAACUUCUCACUGAGGUUCUACACAUAGGGCCAAACCAUAUGUUAAAUAGUAAAUACAUAGUUCGGCCCUGCAUUUUUUUAAAAAACUGUAAAUAGGAGAUCUGGAGCCCUGUCAGGAUCAAGACCAUGGCAUGCAUGGUUAACCGUUUCCCCUCAUGUCACAAUACAAAACAAAACAAAAAACCCACAAACCAACUAUCUGACACCAGAGGGAAGAUGUCAUUGGUGCCACUUUGUGGGAGGGCAAUUUUAAGUCAGGAGUCCAACAUAUGCAGCAACUAUUAACCUCCGAUGAUACAAAUCCUGAUGGUUUGGCCCUGCAGCUGCUACUUACAGGUUUGUUUUACAAAAAACAAGGUUAAACUAUAUGUUUAAUAAAAUGUGCAGCUAUUCCCUUAGACCAGACUCAUGUCAACGCACUUAUAUGCACAUCUUAACCGCCUUGGGGUUUUCUUUUAACGAAAGGCGGUAUAGAAAUGUAAAAAUAAUAAAUAAAUAAAUAAAAUCUUGUUUCAUUCAA
Hemicordylus capensis (graceful crag lizard) is the source of this 4118-nucleotide RNA transcript. It is a transcript of the gene named solute carrier family 25 member 40, with no coding region annotated. The record is from RefSeq and is a predicted model, not a curated record. Lineage: Eukaryota; Metazoa; Chordata; Lepidosauria; Squamata; Cordylidae. The transcript has 18 exons.